GGGGAUGUAGCUCAGUUGGGAGAGCGCUGCCCUUACAAGGCAGAGGUCGUCGGUUCGAGCCCGGCCGUCCCCACCA
This 76-nucleotide transfer RNA is filed under the name Acidimicrobiia bacterium. Its description in RNAcentral is "tRNA-Val". It matches the Rfam family "tRNA". Rfam says of the family: Transfer RNA (tRNA) molecules are approximately 80 nucleotides in length. Their secondary structure includes four short double-helical elements and three loops (D, anti-codon, and T loops). RNAcentral also lists the same sequence under 1 other name. The record is from RNAcentral. Lineage: Bacteria; Bacillati; Actinomycetota; Acidimicrobiia.